RNAcentral lists this ribosomal RNA (2230 nucleotides) under Escherichia coli. Its description in RNAcentral is "partial 23S ribosomal RNA". It matches the Rfam family "Bacterial large subunit ribosomal RNA", at positions 582 to 2798 of the family's 2925-position model. Lineage: Bacteria; Pseudomonadati; Pseudomonadota; Gammaproteobacteria; Enterobacterales; Enterobacteriaceae. The record is from RNAcentral.
GAGCAAUCUGUGUGACUGCGUACCUUUUGUAUAAUGGGUCAGCGACUUAUAUUCUGUAGCAAGGUUAACCGAAUAGGGGAGCCGAAGGGAAACCGAGUCUUAACUGGGCGUUAAGUUGCAGGGUAUAGACCCGAAACCCGGUGAUCUAGCCAUGGGCAGGUUGAAGGUUGGGUAACACUAACUGGAGGACCGAACCGACUAAUGUUGAAAAAUUAGCGGAUGACUUGUGGCUGGGGGUGAAAGGCCAAUCAAACCGGGAGAUAGCUGGUUCUCCCCGAAAGCUAUUUAGGUAGCGCCUCGUGAAUUCAUCUCCGGGGGUAGAGCACUGUUUCGGCAAGGGGGUCAUCCCGACUUACCAACCCGAUGCAAACUGCGAAUACCGGAGAAUGUUAUCACGGGAGACACACGGCGGGUGCUAACGUCCGUCGUGAAGAGGGAAACAACCCAGACCGCCAGCUAAGGUCCCAAAGUCAUGGUUAAGUGGGAAACGAUGUGGGAAGGCCCAGACAGCCAGGAUGUUGGCUUAGAAGCAGCCAUCAUUUAAAGAAAGCGUAAUAGCUCACUGGUCGAGUCGGCCUGCGCGGAAGAUGUAACGGGGCUAAACCAUGCACCGAAGCUGCGGCAGCGACACUAUGUGUUGUUGGGUAGGGGAGCGUUCUGUAAGCCUGUGAAGGUGUACUGUGAGGUAUGCUGGAGGUAUCAGAAGUGCGAAUGCUGACAUAAGUAACGAUAAAGCGGGUGAAAAGCCCGCUCGCCGGAAGACCAAGGGUUCCUGUCCAACGUUAAUCGGGGCAGGGUGAGUCGACCCCUAAGGCGAGGCCGAAAGGCGUAGUCGAUGGGAAACAGGUUAAUAUUCCUGUACUUGGUGUUACUGCGAAGGGGGGACGGAGAAGGCUAUGUUGGCCGGGCGACGGUUGUCCCGGUUUAAGCGUGUAGGCUGGUUUUCCAGGCAAAUCCGGAAAAUCAAGGCUGAGGCGUGAUGACGAGGCACUACGGUGCUGAAGCAACAAAUGCCCUGCUUCCAGGAAAAGCCUCUAAGCAUCAGGUAACAUCAAAUCGUACCCCAAACCGACACAGGUGGUCAGGUAGAGAAUACCAAGGCGCUUGAGAGAACUCGGGUGAAGGAACUAGGCAAAAUGGUGCCGUAACUUCGGGAGAAGGCACGCUGAUAUGUAGGUGAAGUCCCUCGCGGAUGGAGCUGAAAUCAGUCGAAGAUACCAGCUGGCUGCAACUGUUUAUUAAAAACACAGCACUGUGCAAACACGAAAGUGGACGUAUACGGUGUGACGCCUGCCCGGUGCCGGAAGGUUAAUUGAUGGGGUCAGCGCAAGCGAAGCUCUUGAUCGAAGCCCCGGUAAACGGCGGCCGUAACUAUAACGGUCCUAAGGUAGCGAAAUUCCUUGUCGGGUAAGUUCCGACCUGCACGAAUGGCGUAAUGAUGGCCAGGCUGUCUCCACCCGAGACUCAGUGAAAUUGAACUCGCUGUGAAGAUGCAGUGUACCCGCGGCAAGACGGAAAGACCCCGUGAACCUUUACUAUAGCUUGACACUGAACAUUGAGCCUUGAUGUGUAGGAUAGGUGGGAGGCUUUGAAGUGUGGACGCCAGUCUGCAUGGAGCCGACCUUGAAAUACCACCCUUUAAUGUUUGAUGUUCUAACGUUGACCCGUGAUCCGGGUUGCGGACAGUGUCUGGUGGGUAGUUUGACUGGGGCGGUCUCCUCCUAAAGAGUAACGGAGGAGCACGAAGGUUGGCUAAUCCUGGUCGGACAUCAGGAGGUUAGUGCAAUGGCAUAAGCCAGCUUGACUGCGAGCGUGACGGCGCGAGCAGGUGCGAAAGCAGGUCAUAGUGAUCCGGUGGUUCUGAAUGGAAGGGCCAUCGCUCAACGGAUAAAAGGUACUCCGGGGAUAACAGGCUGAUACCGCCCAAGAGUUCAUAUCGACGGCGGUGUUUGGCACCUCGAUGUCGGCUCAUCACAUCCUGGGGCUGAAGUAGGUCCCAAGGGUAUGGCUGUUCGCCAUUUAAAGUGGUACGCGAGCUGGGUUUAGAACGUCGUGAGACAGUUCGGUCCCUAUCUGCCGUGGGCGCUGGAGAACUGAGGGGGGCUGCUCCUAGUACGAGAGGACCGGAGUGGACGCAUCACUGGUGUUCGGGUUGUCAUGCCAAUGGCACUGCCCGGUAGCUAAAUGCGGAAGAGAUAAGUGCUGAAAGCAUCUAAGCACGAAACUUGCC